Herpailurus yagouaroundi (jaguarundi) is the source of this 727-nucleotide long non-coding RNA. RefSeq lists it as uncharacterized. The record is from RefSeq and is a predicted model, not a curated record. NCBI's taxonomy places the organism in Eukaryota, Metazoa, Chordata, Mammalia, Carnivora, Felidae. The transcript has 3 exons.
CUUGUGGCGGAGCAUGGGGAGGCUCCUCCUGUGCGCCGGGCCGCGGCACUCCCAGGCGCUGGCAUCUGGGGCGGGCAGCGUCCCUCCCACAGGGCUGCCGUCGGCAGGGACAUUCCGCUAGAAGCAUCGACAGUGAGGGAUAAUUCGAGACAGCGUCAACCAUGGUGGAGAACACAGGGAGACAUGGAACCCGUCAGAGAGGGGCACGAGGGAGGCCAGAGGAGGCCCGCUGGGGGCAGGUACCUCCUUCAGAUUCGGGUGUCGCUGGUUCCCAAGACGGAGAGCAGAACUGGACUGACCCAGCGAGAAAUCUGGCAAGUGUCGUUGGCCUGUUCUCCGCUUUUCUGAAAACACAGGCGCCAGGAGAGGUUUCCAUAGCAGCUUCCAAACUGGACACCAAACUUCACUCAGCAGGACAUUGAUAGUUUUCCAUUUCUCCUUUUCCACGUUUCGUCACUUUUCUUGGCGUCCUACAGUUUGUAAAAGGUACAGAUGGCGGCCGCCAUGCUUGCGGGCGCUGAAGGACCUGGUCAAGCCCAAACCAGGUCCUGGGAGCCGUGGACAAGUCUGUCCCCUGGACAGAAUGCAGACCCAAACGCCGCUUCUGGGCGGCCCCAAACGGCCGUGGUCAUCCUUUGUUCCUGCUUCUUCGCCCACCUCGCUGAAUCUCCGUCAGUCUCCAGAGAAGUCUCCGUGCCUUCCCCAGUUCCACCAUCCUGCCCAAUGA